GACGAACGCUGGCGGCGUGCUUAACACAUGCAAGUCGAACGGAAAGGCCCUGCUUUUGUGGGGUGCUCGAGUGGCGAACGGGUGAGUAACACGUGAGUAACCUGCCCUUGACUUUGGGAUAACUUCAGGAAACUGGGGCUAAUACCGGAUAGGAGCUCCUGCUGCAUGGUGGGGGUUGGAAAGUUUCGGCGGUUGGGGAUGGACUCGCGGCUUAUCAGCUUGUUGGUGGGGUAGUGGCUUACCAAGGCUUUGACGGGUAGCCGGCCUGAGAGGGUGACCGGCCACAUUGGGACUGAGAUACGGCCCAGACUCCUACGGGAGGCAGCAGUGGGGAAUAUUGCACAAUGGGCGGAAGCCUGAUGCAGCAACGCCGCGUGAGUGAAGAAGGUCUUCGGAUCGUAAAACUCUGUUAUUAGGGAAGAACAAAUGUGUAAGUAACUAUGCACGUCUUGACGGUACUUAAUCAGAAAGCCACGGCUAACUACGUG
This 488-nucleotide ribosomal RNA is filed under the name uncultured bacterium. RNAcentral describes it as "partial 16S ribosomal RNA". It matches the Rfam family "Bacterial small subunit ribosomal RNA", at positions 28 to 507 of the family's 1533-position model. The record is from RNAcentral.